Long non-coding RNA from Limulus polyphemus (Atlantic horseshoe crab), 464 nucleotides. RefSeq lists it as uncharacterized. The transcript is spliced from 3 exons. The record is from RefSeq and is a predicted model, not a curated record. NCBI's taxonomy places the organism in Eukaryota, Metazoa, Arthropoda, Merostomata, Xiphosura, Limulidae.
CUUGUAUUAGGUCUUCCAACUUUGAUAGAUUCUCUGACCGAAAAAAACACCAAAACACAGAAUGGAAAAGCCCAAGCUAAACUGUUGCUACAAAGUCUCCCCGAGGGAAACCAAAAAUUUCUGAAUUACUUUAUCACCUUGCUUCAUAAAAUAGCUGUACAAAGUGGUAACAUUGUGUUGGGCUCAUUAAGACUGGCAGAAUUUUUGGGUUCAGUCAUUCUUCUCAGGACUCGCAAGUCACUAAAGGUCCAGGUAGAAGCUGAAACUGUUCUACAAUUUCUUAUUAUACAUGCUCCCCAAUUUUUUGAUGGUAAUCAAUUUCAAUUAAGACCUAAAAUUCCUGUUUUUAACAGAGAGAGAGAUAAAGAGAAAAGACAUUCUAUACAAGAACCAUUAUGAUUGACAGAUUUAAUGGACAGCAAUGUAGCUGUAUCAAAGAUAAUCUAAGCUUUAGUAUACACCGC